This 604-nucleotide ribosomal RNA is filed under the name Salmonella enterica. RNAcentral's name for it is "partial 23S ribosomal RNA". It matches the Rfam family "Bacterial large subunit ribosomal RNA", at positions 337 to 844 of the family's 2925-position model. The record is from RNAcentral. Lineage: Bacteria; Pseudomonadati; Pseudomonadota; Gammaproteobacteria; Enterobacterales; Enterobacteriaceae.
AGCGUCUGGAAAGGCGCGCGAUACAGGGUGACAGCCCCGUACACAAAAGCGCAUGUGCUGUGAGCUCGAUGAGUAGGGCGGGACACGUGGUAUCCUGUCUGAAUAUGGGGGGACCAUCCUCCAAGGCUAAAUACUCCUGACUGACCGAUAGUGAACCAGUACCGUGAGGGAAAGGCGAAAAGAACCCCGGCGAGGGGAGUGAAAAAGAACCUGAAACCGUGUACGUACAAGCAGUGGGAGCCCCACCACCAAAGCAUUCUCUGGUGUUGAAGGCCCUGCAAAGCAGCAUCGCGGUGGCGGAGCGUCGUUUGCGACGCCCAACACACAAAACAAGCGGUGAGUGCUUUGGGGUGGGGUGACUGCGUACCUUUUGUAUAAUGGGUCAGCGACUUAUAUUCUGUAGCAAGGUUAACCGAAUAGGGGAGCCGGAGGGAAACCGAGUCUUAAUUGGGCGUUAAGUUGCAGGGUAUAGACCCGAAACCCGGUGAUCUAGCCAUGGGCAGGUUGAAGGUUGGGUAACACUAACUGGAGGACCGAACCGACUAAUGUUGAAAAAUUAGCGGAUGACCUGUGGCUGGGGGUGAAAGGCCAAUCAAACCGGGAG